This 253-nucleotide ribosomal RNA is filed under the name uncultured bacterium. RNAcentral describes it as "partial 16S ribosomal RNA". It matches the Rfam family "Bacterial small subunit ribosomal RNA", at positions 524 to 776 of the family's 1533-position model. The record is from RNAcentral.
UACGGGGGGGGCAAGCGUUGUUCGGAAUUAUUGGGCGUAAAGGGCUCGUAGGCGGUUUGUCGCGUCGGGAGUGAAAACAUCCAGCUUAACUGGGUGCUUGCUUUCGAUACGGGCAGACUUGAGGUAUGCAGGGGAGAAUGGAAUUCCUGGUGUAGCGGUGAAAUGCGCAGAUAUCAGGAGGAACACCGGUGGCGAAGGCGGUUCUCUGGGCAUUACCUGACGCUGAGGAGCGAAAGUGUGGGGAGCGAACAGG